This 253-nucleotide ribosomal RNA is filed under the name uncultured bacterium. RNAcentral's name for it is "partial 16S ribosomal RNA". It matches the Rfam family "Bacterial small subunit ribosomal RNA", at positions 524 to 776 of the family's 1533-position model. The record is from RNAcentral.
UACGGAGGAUCCGAGCGUUAUCCGGAUUUAUUGGGUUUAAAGGGGGCGUAGGCGGGUUGUUAAGUCAGUUGUGAAAGUUUGCGGCUCAACCGUAAAAUUGCAGUUGAUACUGGCAUCCUUGAGUACAGUAGAGGUAGGCGGAAUUCGUGGUGUAGCGGUGAAAUGCUUAGAUAUCACGAAGAACUCCGAUUGCGAAGGCAGCCUGCUGGACUGUAACUGACGCUGAUGCUCGAAAGUGUGGGUAUCAAACAGG